RNAcentral lists this ribosomal RNA (236 nucleotides) under uncultured bacterium. RNAcentral's name for it is "partial 16S ribosomal RNA". It matches the Rfam family "Bacterial small subunit ribosomal RNA", at positions 87 to 339 of the family's 1533-position model. The record is from RNAcentral.
CUGGAUUAGUGGCGAACGGGUGAGUAACACGUGAGCAACCUGCCCCUAACUCUGGGAUAACGCUUCGAAAGGAGUGCUAAUACCGGAUAAGUCCUUACGGAGAAAGUUUUAAUGCCAAAAGAUGAGCCCGCAUUUGAUUAGCUAGUUGGUGAGGUAAAAGCUCACCAAGGCGAUAAUCAAUAGCUGAUUUGAGAGGAUGAUCAGCCACACUGGGACUGAGAUACGGCCCAGACUCC